Molecule: ribosomal RNA, 1276 nt
Filed under: Cervaphis quercus
Lineage: Eukaryota; Metazoa; Arthropoda; Insecta; Hemiptera; Aphididae
Description: 16S ribosomal RNA
Source: RNAcentral
AAUUUAUUUUAUUAAUUUAUUUUUUUUUAUAUUUAAUUUUAUAAAAAUAAUUUAUUUUUUUUUGUUUAAGUAUUUAUUAAGAAAAAAUUUAAAAAUUUAUAGUUUAUUAGUAUUGUAAAAGAAUUAAAUUUAAAUAUAAAAAAGAAUAAUUAAUUUUUAGUACCUUUUGUAUCAGGGUUAAUUAAAAUUUUUAAUUUAUUUUUAAAUUCUCAAAAUUUAUAGAGUUAAUUUUAUUAUUAAUUUAUUGUAUUAUAAAUAUUUAUUAAAUAAUAUUAGUUUUGAAAUUUAAUUCGUUAUAAAAUAUUUAGUUAUUUAAGAUUUAAAUUUAAUUUAAAAUUUUAAAAGUUAUAUUAAUUUUUAUUAAUUAUAUUUUAAUUUUAAAUUAUUUUAGGGAUAAGCUUAAAAUUUUUAUAAAAUAAUUUAUUAUUUAUAAAUAAAUUUUAGGAUUAGAAAUUUUUAUUUAAGUUUGUAAAAAUUUAUUAUUUAAUUAAAUUUAAUUUAUUAUAAAAUAAUUAUUUAUUUUUUUUAUUAAAUUUUAUAAGUUAAUUAAUAAUUUAUAGUAAUAAUGAUUAAAUUAGUAUAAUUGUAAUUUAUAUUUUAUGAAUUCGGCAAAAAUUAUUUUCAUCUGUUUAACAAAAACAUUGUAUUAAGUUUAAUUUAAUAUAGGAUCUGCUCAAUGAUGAUAAAUUAAAUAGCUGCAGUAUUUUGACUGUGCAAAGGUAGCAUAAUAAUUAGUCUUUUAAUUGAAGACUAGAAUGAAAGAUUUGAUGAGAAAUAAACUUUAUUAUUUAUAUAAUUAAAAUUUUAUUUUUAAGUAAAAAAGCUUAAAUUAUUUUAAGGGACGAUAAGACCCUAUAAAACUUUAUAAAUUUUUUUUUUUAAUUUUUUGGUUAAUAAAUUAAUUAAAUUAAUUAAAUUUAUUUUAUUGGGGUGAUAAAAAAAAUAAAAUAACUUUUUUUAAAAAUUAACAUAUUUUAGUGAUUUUUUGAAUUAAAAAUUUUAAUUAUAAGAAAAAGUUACUUUAGGGAUAACAGCGUAAUUAAUUUUUUAAGUUCAAAUUUGAAAAUUAGAUUGCGACCUCGAUGUUGAAUUAAGAUUAUUCUUAGGUGCAAAAUUUUAAGUUUUAGGUCUGUUCGACCUUUAAAUUCUUACAUGAUUUGAGUUCAAACCGGUGUAAGCCAGGUUGGUUUCUAUCUUUAAUUUUUUUUUUUGUUUUAGUACGAAAGGAUUAAAUAAAAAAAUUAAAUUUUUUUUUAAAAAUAAAAUUAUUAAUUUA